CAGACCCGAAACCAAGUGACCUACCCAUGACCAGGUUGAAGGCGCGGUAAAACGCGCUGGAGGACCGAACCCACGUAAGUUGAAAAUUGCGGGGAUGAGUUGUGGGUAGCGGUGAAAUUCCAAACGAACUUGGAGAUAGCUGGUUCUCUCCGAAAUAGCUUUAGGGCUAGCCUCGCAAAGAGGAUGCUGGAGGUAGAGCUCUGUUUGGACUAGGGGCCCGUCAAGGGUUACUGAAUUCAGAUAAACUGCGAAUUCCAGACAUUUAUGUGCGGGAGUCAGACUGCGAGUGAUAAGAUCCGUAGUCGAAAGGGAAACAGCCCAGAUCACCAGUUAAGGUCCCAAAAUUCAUGCUAAGUGGAAAAGGAUGUGGAGUUGCGCAGACAACUAGGACGUUGGCUCAGAAGCAGCCAUCAUUCAAAGAGUGCGUAAUAGCUCACUAGUCGAGUGACGCCGCGCCGAAAAUUUACCGGGGCUAAGCAUGAUACCGAAACUGUGGAUGUGCAUUUAUGCACGUGGUAGGAGAGCGUUCUAGCGGCGGUGAAGCAUGACCGAGAGGACAUGUGGAGCUUCUAGAAGUGAGAAUGCCGGUAUGAGUAACGAAAGACAGGUGAGAAUCCUGUCCGCCGCAAGACUAAGGUUUCCUGGGGCAGGCUCGUCCGCCCAGGGUAAGUCGGGACCUAAGGCGAGGCCGAGAGGCGUAGUCGAUGGACAACAGGUUGAAAUUCCUGUACUGCACCGAAUCGUUAUGAGCGAUGGAGGGACGCAGGAGGCUAGCAGCGCGUGGUGCUGGAUACCACGUUCAAGCGUCAAGUCUGAGAGCGAGUCAAAUGCUUGCUCUCAUAAGGACAAGGCGUGAUGAGGAGCGAAAUUAAAGUAGCGAAGGCUGCGACGUCACACUGCCGAGAAAAGCUUCUAGCCAGAGACGGUGCACCCGUACCGCAAACCGACACAGGUAGUCGAGGAGAGUAUCCUCAGGUGAGCGAGAGAACUCUCGUUAAGGAACUCGGCAAAAUGGCCCCGUAACUUCGGGAGAAGGGGCGCUGGUCGCAAGAUCAGCCGCAGUGAAAAGGCCCAAGCAACUGUUUAUCAAAAACACAGGCAUCUGCAAAAUCGUAAGAUGAAGUAUAGGUGCUGACACCUGCCCGGUGCUGGAAGGUUAAGAGGAGAGCUUAGCGCAAGCGAAGGUUUGAAUUGAAGCCCCAGUAAACGGCGGCCGUAACUAUAACGGUCCUAAGGUAGCGAAAUUCCUUGUCGGGUAAGUUCCGACCUGCACGAAAGGUGUAAUGAUUUGGGCACUGUCUCAACGAGAGACUCGGUGAAAUUAUAAUACCCGUGAAGAUGCGGGUUACCCGCGACAGGACGGAAAGACCCCAUGGAGCUUUACUGCAGUUUAAUAUUGGGUAUCUGUCAAGCAUGUACAGGAUAGGUAGGAGCCGGAGAAGAUAGGACGCCAGUCUUAUCUGAGGCGCUGUUGGGAUACUACCCUUGCUUGACGGAUGCUCUAACUCAGGCCUGUGAUCCAGGCCGAGGACAGUGUUUGACGGGCAGUUUGACUGGGGCGGUCGCCUCCUAAAGUGUAACGGAGGCGCCCAAAGGUUCCCUCAGAAUGGUUGGAAAUCAUUCGCAGAGUGUAAAGGUAAAAGGGAGCUUGACUGCGAGAGAGACAACUCGAGCAGGUACGAAAGUAGGGCUUAGUGAUCUGGUGGUACCGCAUGGAAGGGCCAUCACUCAACGGAUAAAAGCUACCCUGGGGAUAACAGGCUUAUCUCCCCCAAGAGUUCACAUCGACGGGGAGGUUUGGCACCUCGAUGUCGGCUCGUCGCAUCCUGGGGCUGAAGUCGGUCCCAAGGGUUGGGCUGUUCGCCCAUUAAAGCGGCACGCGAGCUGGGUUCAGAACGUCGUGAGACAGUUCGGUCCCUAUCCGUCGUGGGCGUAGGAAAUUUGAGAGGAGCUGUCCUUAGUACGAGAGGACCGGGAUGGACGCACCGCUGGUGUACCAGUUGUCUUGCCAAAGGCAUCGCUGGGUAGCUAUGUGCGGACGGGAUAAGCGCUGAAAGCAUCUAAGUGCGAAGCCCCCCUCAAGAUGAGAUUUCCCAUUUCUUCAAGAAAGUAAGACACCUCAGAGACGAUGAGGUAGAUAGGCCGGGAGUGGAAGAGCCGUGAGGCUUGGAGCGGACCGGUACUAAUCAGUCGAGGACUUGACCAAAA
This 2208-nucleotide ribosomal RNA is filed under the name Lactobacillus delbrueckii subsp. bulgaricus. RNAcentral's name for it is "partial 23S ribosomal RNA". It matches the Rfam family "Bacterial large subunit ribosomal RNA", at positions 710 to 2925 of the family's 2925-position model. The record is from RNAcentral. Lineage: Bacteria; Bacillati; Bacillota; Bacilli; Lactobacillales; Lactobacillaceae.